CGGAGGAUGCAAGCGUUAUCCGGAUUUAUUGGGUUUAAAGGGUGCGCAGGCGGAAGAUUAAGUCGGUGGUGAAAUUUUGCAGCUCAACUGUAAAAGUGCCAUUGAUACUGGUUUUCUUGAGUGUGGAUGAAGUAGGCGGAAUUUGUGGUGUAGCGGUGAAAUGCAUAGAUAUCACGAGGAACUCCGAUUGCGAAGGCAGCUUACUAAACCAUAACUGACGCUCAGGCACGAAGGCGUGGGGAUCAAACAGGAUUAGAUA
This 259-nucleotide ribosomal RNA is filed under the name uncultured prokaryote. RNAcentral's name for it is "partial 16S ribosomal RNA". It matches the Rfam family "Bacterial small subunit ribosomal RNA", at positions 526 to 784 of the family's 1533-position model. The record is from RNAcentral.